RNAcentral lists this ribosomal RNA (504 nucleotides) under uncultured bacterium. RNAcentral's name for it is "partial 16S ribosomal RNA". It matches the Rfam family "Bacterial small subunit ribosomal RNA", at positions 29 to 507 of the family's 1533-position model. The record is from RNAcentral.
ACGAACGCUGGCGGCGUGCCUAAUACAUGCAAGUCGAACGCACAGUUUAUACCGUAGCUUGCUACACCAUAGCCUGUGCGUUGCGAACGGGUGAGUAACGCGUAGGUAACCUGCCUGGUAGCGGGGGAUAACUAUUGGAAACGAUAGCUAAUACCGCAUAAUAUUAAUUAUUGCAUGAUAAUUAAUUGAAAGGUGCAAUUGCACCACUACCAGAUGGACCUGCGUUGUAUUAGCUAGUAGGUGAGGUAACGGCUCACCUAGGCGACGAUACAUAGCCGACCUGAGAGGGUGAUCGGCCACACUGGGACUGAGACACGGCCCAGACUCCUACGGGAGGCAGCAGUAGGGAAUCUUCGGCAAUGGACGAAAGUCUGACCGAGCAACGCCGCGGGAGUGAAGAAGGGUUUCGGAUCGUAAAGCUCUGUUGUAAGAGAAGAACGGGUGUGAGAGUGGAAAGUUCACACUGUGACGGUAUCUUACCAGAAAGGGACGGCUAACUACGUG